Molecule: ribosomal RNA, 519 nt
Filed under: Clostridioides difficile
Lineage: Bacteria; Bacillati; Bacillota; Clostridia; Peptostreptococcales; Peptostreptococcaceae
Description: bacterial LSU rRNA
Rfam family: Bacterial large subunit ribosomal RNA
Source: RNAcentral
GUAAUUCCGGUGAAGAUGCCGGAUACCUGCGACAGGACGGAAAGACCCCAUGGAGCUUUACUGUAGCUUGACAUUGGGUCUUGGUACUACAUGUACAGGAUAGGUGGGAGGCUUUGAAACCAGGACGCCAGUUUUGGCGGAGCCAUCCUUGGGAUACCACCCUUGUAGUACUGGGACUCUAACCAUAGGCCAUGAAUCUGGUCUUGGGACACUGUCAGGUGGGCAGUUUGACUGGGGCGGUCGCCUCCCAAAAGGUAACGGAGGCGCUCAAAGGUUCUCUCAGUACGGUCGGAAAUCGUACGUAGAGUGUAAAGGCAAAAGAGAGCUUGAUUGCAAGACAUACAGGUCGAGCAAGGAUGAAAAUCGGACUUAGUGAUCCGGUGGUUCUGCGUGGAAGGGCCAUCGCUCAACGGAUAAAAGCUACCCUGGGGAUAACAGGCUUAUCUCCCCCAAGAGUCCACAUCGACGGGGAGGUUUGGCACCUCGAUGUCGGCUCAUCACAUCCUGGGGCUGUAGUAG